UGCACGACGAGCUAUCAGCAACUGCGAGAAUUCCUUUUCAUUGAACAGAGGAAAUGGUCGAAGGUAAACAUGCCGAAAUGAAGGCUAACUGUCGAAGAUUUCGCAACUCCGGCAUUCCUAUCACUCAACGCUCUUUCCAUUAAUUUCAGAUGCUUACAUGCAAAAUGCUCGACGUAAAUGUGAUCACAAUCUUCAUUACUCGAGACAGGAGCUUUGGGAUCAAAGUUACAGUUUUUUGGACAAUCAAUAGCACGGUCCAGCAGGAACGAAGAGGACAGAGUGAGUUCGGCACGAACAAAUGCGUGGACUGUGCACA
Long non-coding RNA from Dermacentor andersoni, 316 nucleotides. RefSeq lists it as uncharacterized. The record is from RefSeq and is a predicted model, not a curated record. Lineage: Eukaryota; Metazoa; Arthropoda; Arachnida; Ixodida; Ixodidae.